Molecule: ribosomal RNA, 64 nt
Filed under: Desulfuromonas thiophila
Lineage: Bacteria; Pseudomonadati; Thermodesulfobacteriota; Desulfuromonadia; Desulfuromonadales; Desulfuromonadaceae
Description: 16S rRNA. Bacterial SSU
Rfam family: Bacterial small subunit ribosomal RNA
Source: RNAcentral
UAUAACUGGAGAGUUUGAUCCUGGCUCAGAACGAACGCUGGCGGCGUGCUUAACACAUGCAAGU